Molecule: long non-coding RNA, 8235 nt
Filed under: Phaseolus vulgaris (common bean)
Lineage: Eukaryota; Viridiplantae; Streptophyta; Magnoliopsida; Fabales; Fabaceae
Description: long non-coding RNA (PVUL_LNC001961)
Source: RNAcentral
CCGAUGGUGACGUGGCCUCUGUAUGCAGAACAGUUCUUCAAUGAAAGGUUGCUGGUGGAUGUGCUGAAAAUCGCAGUGGCGGUUGGAGCAAAAGAGUGUAAAGAUUGGGCUGAUUUUGGGAAUGAGAUUGUUGGGAGGGAGAAGAUAACAAAGGCGAUUGGUUUAUUGAUGGGUGGAGGAGAAGAGUGUGAAGAAGUGAGAAGGAGAGUGAAAGCGCUUAGCGAGGAGGCGAAGAAAGCAAUCCAGAUUGGUGGCUCUUCUUACAACAAUUUGAAAGAUGUUAUUCAAGAGAUGAAGUCAUUAAAACUUGAAAAGCUGAACUCAAAAGUUGAGGAGCCUGUCGCUUAGGGAGAUGAAGUCAUUAAACUUCAGUAUUUGGUUUGGUUGUUACUGGCUACUAUGUGGUUAAUAUCUCCUAUGUCUGUAAGCAUGAAGAACUUGUUCUUGUCAUCCUAUGUUUAAUUCUUUUUAUUGUGUUAAUUCCAUAAACACAUUUUUUUUCAGUUUUUAUUAAAAUUGAGCUCUUAAAACAUUUUUUAAGUGAGCACGAUAUUGAUUUUAAUAUUUUAAGAAAGUUGGCCAUGGAAAGCCCAACUUCCUUUUAUUGCUUUUUAAUAUUUUAUUUUAGAAAACAACCAUUGAAUGAUUAUUGCAAAAAAAUUUGUACACUGCACACAUAAUAACACUAUUCAACAACCCUUUAUAAUAAUAUUAUAAUAUUUAAAAUUACAAAUGAAAAUGGUUAAAAUAUUUUUUUUUAUGUUAAGAUUAUGUGUUUUAUGUACGUAGUGUCAAGUAUCAGAGAUGGUGUUAUAAAACUUUAUUCCUUUUGUAAAUAACCUUUAGAUUUAGGAAAACGUUUUUUUAACACCUCUCUGUCAAGUUACACACUCUUAACGUUUGAAACGUGGAAAUGGUGGGUGAUGUGAUAAUGAUAUUGUUGUAAAUGUUAUGAUGGUUAUAUGGCUUUGGGAGAUAGAAAGGGAAGAACGUAGGGUUUGAAAACGGUGUGAGAAGUUGAAUUUUCUCAACACGGAGGAAGAAGGCGGUGUUGAAAUUGAGAGGUUGGUGGUGACAUUGAGGUCGGUGGUGACGUCCAGCGCCUCGCCGAGAUUGUUGUUGUUCAGGAACAACUCCAACCCUAAACAGUAAGGAUCGCAUGCGGUCGUUGUCGUGGACGAUGGCGCGGAAUUGGUCGGCGUUGAAACAAAUCCACACGACUCUCAAAAUGUUGUUAGAAAUGUCGGUGUAAGGCCCUUCGCCAUGAUGACUGCUUAUCCAACCACAGGUUCCUCCACAACGCAAAAUUGGUUACCCGUGUGUCUGUAAGUGGUUACUUAUGUAACGUUUAUGGCCACCCACUCUUCAUGAAAAAAAAAGUCAAUUCUUUUUAAUAAGAACCAUAUAUUACAUCGGUUAGAUGACUUAACCGGUGUAAUAACCCUACCAGAACUUGUUACUCAACCAUAAGUUCCUCCACAACACUCAACCAUAAGUUCCUCCACAACACAAAACUGGUUACCUGUGUGUCUGUAAGUGGUUACUUAUGUGACGUUUAUCGCCACCCACUCUUCAUGAAAAAAAAAUCAUUCUUUUAAUAAGAACCUUAUAUUACAUCGGUUAGAUGGCUUAACCGCUUUAAUAACCCUACCAGAAAUUGUUACCCAGCUACAGGUUCCUGCACAAUGCAAAACUGGUUAUUCGUGUGUGUGUAAGUGGUUACUUAUGUGACGUUUAUGAUCACCCACUCUUUAAUGAAGAAUGAUAUGUUGGAUUUCAACGUGAAUAAGUUUUUUGGUAUUAAUACUCGUAGUGGUAAAGUUCUUCGUCAUCCACUUAUUAAAUGAGAGUUUCCUUCACCAGACUGGUUAAAAUUAACACUAACGAGACUGUUAGGGGUAUCCUGGUCUUGCUACUUGUGGAGGUAUUUUUCGUGAGAGUAUGAGGGAGGUUAUUGGUGUUUUUUUUCUUCUGUGUUUAUUGAAGUUCAGACUGCUAUGGUUGCUGAGUUUUAUAGAGUUAUGCAUGUUAUGGAGGAAGUUCAAAAGAUGGGGCUUAUUAAUGUCUGGCUUGAAUGAGAUUUUGUCUUUCUGCCUUGGUUAGUAUUGCGUUUACUGCUAGGACAAAUGUUCCGUGGAUGCUUCGUAAUUGAUGAAAUACGUCUCUUAAUUACUGUAGGAAAAUCAGGUUUAGGGUUACUCAUAUUUUUCAUGAAGGAAAUGUGUGUGCUGAUAAGUUGACUAAUUUAGGAUUUAUUAUAGAGAAUCAUUUCAUUGGUAUAAUAGGCUUCCAUAUAGUAUGUUCGUUCUUAGAAUUCUUUAUGAAUAGGUAUAGUUUACUUAUGUAUCGUUUUUGUUAACAUAUAGAUUUUGGUAUAGUCCCCCAUAUUUUUUUAUUUUUUUAAUAAUAUUUUUUCAUGUGAUGGCACAUGAUUGUUAUUAUUUGAGGUGUCAACCUAGUUGAAAUGUCAAGCUGCAUAGUGAUGCCUAACAUAAAAACUUUUAUAAAAAAAAAUGUUCGUGAUACAAUUAUAAAUAAAAGGGAUAACAUUUAAACAAUAUUUAUAAAAUGAUAAAUAAAUACAUUUAUACAUGAUUAGAAAAUAUAAGAAUAGAAAAAAUUGUCAUUUAUGAGAAAUUGUGUGGUAUGGUUGUCUUUUUUGUUGUCUUUGUGGUAUUUCUUGUUUUUGUUGUUGUCUAGAUAGAAUGAUAAGAUUUUUUAUCACACUAACUUAUUUUAAACCCAAUUUAUUGAAAAUAUUUCAUAUAUCAAGAUUUAAGCGAGAAAAAUUCAUUUUAAUUCUUGAACUUAUAUAUGAUUUUCUUAAAUAAAACAAAAUUAAUUUUUUAUAUAAUUUAUAAAAUAAAAAUUUCCAAAACAUUAUUAUUCACUUCAUAUAAUUUUUAAAUUAUUAUUAUAUACAUAUUUUUAUUUUAAAAAAUAUUAAUUAUUAUUAGUAAAAGAAAAAAAAUCAUCUGACAUAUCAAGUUAAAAUUUCAAUUUAAAUAAAACAUAUUGAAAUUGUCAAACCAACAAACAAUUUUUUAUAUUUGUUUUAAUAUUUUAUUUAACUUGUCUAGUGAGAAAUUCGUCGAAAGCUUCAAUGAAGAAUGAUAUGUUGAAUAUAAACAUGAUUAAGUUCUUUUGUAUUAAUACUCGUAGUGGUAAAAAAUUUCUUCGUCAUCCUGUUAGAUGGGAGUUUCCUUCACUAGGCUGGAUUAAAAUUAACACUGAUGGGACUGCUAAGAGGUAUCCUAGUCUUGCUACUUGUGUAGGUAUUUUCCGUGGGAGUAUGGGGGAGUUUAUUGGUGUUUUUUUUUUGUUUCUUGAAGUUCAGAAUGUUAUAGUUGUUGAGUUUUAUGGUAUUAAGUUUUUGGUAUUAAUACUCGUAGGUGGGGAAGUUUUUCGUCAUCUUCCUGUUAGAUGGGAGUUUCCUUCAUCAGGUUGGGUUAAAAUUAACAAUGAUGGGGCUGCUAGGGGUAUCUUGGUAUUGCUACUUGUAGAGGUAUUUUUCGUAGGAGUAUGGGGGAGUUUAUUCGUGUUUUUUCUGUGUUUCUUGAAGUUCAGACUAUUAUGGUUGCUGAGUUUUAUGGAGUUAUACAUUGUAAGGAGGAAGCUCAAAAGAUGAGACUUAUUAAUGUAUCGCUUGAAUGUGAUUCUGCCUUAGUUUGUGUUGCAUUUACGGCUAGGACUAAUGUUCCGUGAAUGUUUCGUAAUCGAUUUAAUAUUUGUCUUAAUUAUUUCGUAAUAAAUUGUUCAUUCUAUAAUAUAACUCAAAAUUAAAAUUAUGUAUUUUGAAUUAUAUAGUUUGAAAUAUAUAUUUUAUAAAUUUUUAAUUUUUAAUUUAUUUUUGGUAAGUUAUGUAAUAAAAAAAUAUUUUUUUAAUAAAACAUUUAUUUUUUUAAUAAUAAAAAUAUUUCCAUAAAUUAAGCAUAUAACAUGAUUGUAAAAAAAAAAUCAUAAAUAUCCUAAUGUUUUAAAUUUCACAAAUAAUAUACUUUUAAUUUAAAAACAUAAACUUAAUUACAAAACAAAAUUACUUAAGUCUUCUGUUCCGGUCGUCUCUUGCGUAUAACACGUGAAAAUCAAGUGUAAACAACUCCCUCAUUUAUGACGUAACUGAUUAAUUGUAGUGCACUAUGAUGUAACUGUUUAAUUAGAGUCAAGCCUCGUAACCUCAAUUUGGGAGGAGGGAACCCACAUUUACUUAACUUGCGCCCAUGGAAUACUAACUUCAUACUCCUUCAAUCCUAAAAAGACAUAUCAGUGUUUCUAACUAUAAAUGAUCAAACAUAAUAAUAUUAACCAAAGUUUUAUAGUCUUACCUCACCCUUUCACAAUCUUAAUGCAACAUGAUCACCGUAACUCAAUAGUACGUAGGUAUCAAAAGUUAUGUUAAUGAAUUCUUAAUGCUCAUCAUGUCCUCAUAUAGCUUUGUGUAACACAUCACAACCAAUUUCAUUGACAACUUGUUAUUUAUCUCUUUUGUAAAUCGAUGUCAUUAGUCUCUGUCUAACAUCAUCUUAGAUAAAUCACCCUAUAGUCCUAGCCAUAACUCUCCUAAAUCAUUCCAUAUUAAUAAACUUGUUUAUUUUAAAUAUAUUAUGAAAUAUUUUUUCAAAUCAAAAAAUACAUUCUGAAAUACACAUUUUAAAAUCUAUUUAUGGAUUCAUAAAUGUGUUUUUGAUUAUGGCAAAUAAAAUUUAAACCAUUAAAACUAUCUAUUUUUCCUAUUUUUCUUACUUAUUUUUUAAACUUUCAUUCCUCGUUUGAGCUUGGAUCAAUUACAAGUUAAAGAAAUUGUUUACUAAACUUCUCUAAUUAAGACUAUAGUUAUUGUUACAUAAUAAGUAUCAUAUUUAAUAUUUUUUUAAUACUAUAUUUUAGUGUGAAUAAUUAUUUGAAAACUUUUUUAAAAAUCAUAAUAUAACGCAAGAUUUGCACUCACUUAUAUAUUACGAAAUGUCUUAAUUUUUUUGUAGAUGUGAAAAUUUCUAUCACACUUUUUUGAGAGUGACAAUUCAUACAUAGAACUAUAUAUUUAUGGGUGAAUUUUAAACCUAAUUAAACCUUAUAAAACCGAUUUUGUACCCAUUUAUAUAUUAUAAAAUAUUAUAGUCGAUGUAAGAUUUAGAACCCAUAAAAUUUUGGAUAAUCUCGUAACAAUCGUUAUUGAAAACAACCCUCUUGACUUACAUGAUUUAUAUAUUUGUUCUUUUUCAAUAGAAAGUGAAGCAUUUAGGUUUCUUAUGGUUUUGUAAUUUCUACUUCCUUGACAAACUUGUUUUUGAUCAUAUGGUAUCUGACGUUAUCACACUCCACAUUUUCCAAGUAUUUCCUAACUUUUCAAAUUCCAUUGAUCGACAACUUUGUCCUUGAAAGUCCACACCCCUUGUCAUGCGAAGGUCUUACGCCAUGCCAUAUCAAGAAAAUUUUCACGUAUUUUUGUUCUGAAUGCAAUAACAUCAUCCAUUACGUUAACAUACAAAUUAGAUUCCAUGCUUAACAUAAUUCAUUUUAUAUAUAAAUAUUCAUUAGAAAUUGAAUUUUAAACAAACAAAUAUUUAAGUUUCAUAUAAGAAAUAUUCGAUAAAAAGUAAGAUAAAAUUAUUACAAGUAGACCACAACUACACAUUUUAUUAGUGUGUACUGUAGCGGUAUGGCCGAUCAACACCAUGACGUGUCUCGGUCUCCCUAUUCGAGAUGACCAAGAUAUGCUGGCACGACUCUGUCAACCUGGCUAAUUGAGCGAUACAUGGUCAGACCGACCGACGCUCAAAUCAAGUUUAGUGAAGCUAAAUCAUCAUUAAGGAUUAGGUAAUGCAAUCUUAAGAGUAACCCACUUCACUAAUCAAAUCCAAUGAGUUAAGUCCACUAAAAUAAUAUAAAUAGCACACAUCAUAAGGAGAAAGAUAUGUCAUUUAUUAUUGUGCACCUAACCGAAUACUGACCACCCGAUUUAUUAACUUGAGCGUCGGAGUGUCUUCCGCAAAUACCCCAAUCCGAUACUAGUCCGAGAUCAAAGCCGAAAGAGAAACACGAAGAUAAGAAAGACUCCAGUCCAACACCUAACAACCUGUGAAACCGAAAGAGUAAAACAAAUACUUCAAUAAUUCUUUAUGUUUCCUCCAUAUCUUUUAGUAUGUACAUAACUUUGACAUAGAAAAUGGUGGUGAUCGACCAAGAGAAAACUAUUAGAGGCAAACACGUCAUAACUCUUUACAUAUGACCGGCCAGGGCCUGUCUCUUAUUGUAAAAUAGUAAUAAAAAUCUAUAAAAAGCAUAUUUUAUUCAUUUUUCUGAGAAUACAUACUGUAACAUUAUAAUAUAUUUACUGAUUGAAACUUUUAGAAAUAAUAUUUUUACAUAGGCCUUGCUUUUAAUUUAAUAAUUUAAAAAUGAGACUAAGUCCAAAUUAAUAUUUUAAUAAAUUUGAAUAUAGAGUAUUCAUAACGUGUUAUAGAUGAAAACAAAGAAAGUGUUGGUAAAUAAUUCACAAGUGUUACACAUGCAAGGAUAAUAAAUAAUGAAUAUGCCUGGUAGCUGUCACUUCACGAUGCCACCACGGUUACUAAAAUUACUAAAGUUGGCGCGUGUUGCUUCUUGCAUCGGAAACUAUUUCAAUAUUUUUUUGUCUUGUACAUAUAUAUAUAUAUAUAUAUAUAUAUAUAUAAUCGUAAGGAACAAGAGAAUAAGAUUCAUUCUUCAUCCUUCAUCAUCAAAUCAUGGAGUUUUCCGGUGUUGAAGGUGAGUCUGAAAAGCUAAAGGCAAUUUUUCUGCCUUUCAUAACGCCGAGUCAUCUUGUUCCCGUUGUAGACAUAGCUCGGAUCUUCGCCAUGCACGGCGUGGAUGUCACCAUAAUCACCACACCAGAAAACGCUGCCGUUUUUCAGAGCUCCGUCGACCGUGACGCCAGCCGCGGCAGCUCCAUUCGAACCCACCACGUCAAGCUACCGCACGUGCCGGGUUUGCCAGAAGGCGUGGAAACCAUCAAUUUUUCCACUUCAAGAGACACAGCAAGCAUACUCUUCGAGACACUCACCAAGACUCUCGAAACUCAAUUCCCACAACUCUUCCACCAAUUCAAACCCGAUUUCAUAGUCUCCGACAUGUUCUACAGUUGGAGUGUCGAUGCUGCGGCUGAGUUCGGAAUUCCGAGGCUCAUAUACGUUGGUGGAACCUACUUCGCUCACUGUGCCAUGGACUCUCUCGAACGGUUCGAGCCUCACAAAAAGGUGGACUCGGAAGAUGAGAGCUUUCUGAUUCCUGGGUUGCCCUACAACUUGCAGAUGACACGUUCGCAGAUACCCGAACGGUUUAAGACACCCAACAGUUUCUCCGAGAUAAUGAAUAGGGUUAAGGAAUCAGAGAAAAGGAGCUACGGAUCUCUGCUCAAAAGCUUUUAUGCGUUUGAAGGACCUUACGAGGAACUCUACAGGGAAAUCAUGGGGACCAAGAGUUGGAACGUGGGACCCAUUUCUUCCUGGGUGAACCGAGAUGCUUCGGAUAAGAGUUCAAGGGGGCAUGGCAAAGAGGUGGAAGAAGGUUGGCUUUCAUGGCUUGAUUCAAAGCAGAAGGGUUCUGUUGUGUACGUGUGUUUUGGGAGCAUGAAGAACAACUUCUCUGGCACGCAGAUUGCAGAAAUAGCUCACGGGCUUGAAGAUUGCGGCGAUGAUUUCAUCUGGGUGGUGGGGAAAGUUGACGAGGGUCAAAGUAGGGCUCUAGUGGAGGAGUUCGAGAAGAGGGUGGAAGCGAGCAAGAAGGGUUAUCUGAUAUGGGGGUGGGGUCCACAGCUUCUCAUUCUGGAGCACCCUGCUGUCGGAGGCGUGGUGACUCAUUGUGGGAUGAACACGGUUAUGGAGACGGUGGAUGCGGGGUUGCCGAUGGUGACGUGGCCUCUGUAUGCAGAACAGUUCUUCAAUGAAAGGUUGCUGGUGGAUGUGCUGAAAAUCGCAGUGGAAGUUGGCGCAAAAGAGUGGAAAACUUGGGGUGAUUUUGGGAAUGAGAUUGUUGGGAGGGAGAAGAUAGCAAUGGCGAUUGCUUUGUUGAUGGGUGGAGGAGAAGAGUGUGAAGAAAUGAGAAGGAGAGUGAAAGCGCUUAGCGAGGAGGCGAAGAAAGCAAUCAUGAUCGGUGGCUCUUCUUACAACAGUUUGAAAGACGUUAUUCAAGAGAUGAAGACAUUAAAACUUGAAAAGCUGAACUCAAAAGUUGAGGAGCCCGUGGCUUAGCGAGAAU